UCCUCUCGUCUCUCACGCACGCGUAGGCAGUCACGCACCUUCCCCAAUUCCCAAUUUCCUCUUCGUCUCAGCAUGUAGCCACGCCGCCGACACUGACCGCCGUGGACAGGGAGGGAGCACCGUCCACCAGAGCGCUGCCCGCCGUCUCGCCCCGCCCCUGCCCUAUUCCCUCCCGCCGCUCAUCGUCCACCGACCAAUGCCGUGCGUGCUGCCGGCCAUCUAAUCUUGCGGCUGGCUGUUCUCCUCCAACUCAAUGGCUGGCGCAUGACCUGAGCGAGAUCCCCUUCCAUGUUCUGUGUUGGCGAACACAUGAAUUAGCCCCCUGCCGCAUCACACUUCACACACGGGCACACAGCCCCAGGUAGCUAGCAGGUAGUCAUGGGCAAGGAAAAUCAGACUUAGAGAAGAAUCGAUUUGGCUUUUAGAAGGAAAAGAGAUGACAUAAGUGAAGUUGAGGAAGACCAUGUAUUGCCCUUAAGGUGAACCAGGGCAUCACCGCCGCUUCCAGUAUAGUUGGUUUGGUGAUUUUCCAUCAUGUCUAGAGUAUUUAGAGGACAAAAAUUGUGUGUAUUGUCUAAUAUUGUUUCGUCUCCAGUAACAAAAGAAUACGUGAGGUGGUUCUCAUGUCUUCACAAUAUAUGGAUUUGACAGUUGGAAGAGGGUUCAUCGAAAACAUUGUGCAUUCUUGACCCACAUAGGAUCUGGACCAUGCUCACCACACAACAAUGCAGUCACUGGUGGUCAUGCCUUACUGAAACAACCAUGCCACACGGAGAAUAUUGUAGUUGUGAAGGGCAAGGAGAAAGUGCCAAGAAACCGUUUGCGGCUGAAAGUGUAAAUUGCGGUUGUUAAGUGGCUUACAUUCCAAGCUUUCUUGAAAUGGUGAAGCUUCUUGCAGAUAACUUAAUAGUGCUUGAUGGUUGAACUGUACUUUAUUA
Molecule: long non-coding RNA, 938 nt
Organism: Aegilops tauschii subsp. strangulata
Lineage: Eukaryota; Viridiplantae; Streptophyta; Magnoliopsida; Poales; Poaceae
Source: RefSeq, a predicted model, not a curated record